This 580-nucleotide ribosomal RNA is filed under the name uncultured bacterium. RNAcentral's name for it is "bacterial SSU rRNA". The stretch from base 1 to 517 matches the Rfam family "Bacterial small subunit ribosomal RNA", at positions 338 to 873 of the family's 1533-position model. The record is from RNAcentral.
CCUACGGGAGGCAGCAGUGGGGAAUCUUGCACAAUGGAGGAAACUCUGAUGCAGCGAUGCCGCGUGAGUGAAGAAGGCCUUUGGGUUGUAAAGCUCUUUUGUAGGGGAAGAUAAUGACUGUACCCUAAGAAUAAGGUCCGGCUAACUUCGUGCCAGCAGCCGCGGUAAUACGAAGGGACCUAGCGUAGUUCGGAAUUACUGGGCGUAAAGCGCGCGUAGGCCGUUGAGUUAGUUAAUUGUGAAAUCCCAAAGCUUAACUUUGGAACUGCAAUUAAAACUGCUCGACUAGAGUUUGAUAGAGGAAAGCGGAAUACAUAGUGUAGAGGUGAAAUUCGUAGAUAUUAUGUAGAACACCAGUUGCGAAGGCGGCUUUCUGGAUCAACACUGACGCUGAGGCGCGAAAAGUAUGGGUAGCAAAAGAGGAUUAGAUACCCUCGUAGUCCAUACCAUAAACGAUGAUUGCUAGAUGUUGGAAAUUUAUUUUCAGUAUCGCAGCUAACGCAUUAANANANACNCNGGAGACGACGACAAGUAAACUAACAAAGAAAUAGAGCGNGAGAGNGCGAGAGACACAGGAGAG